GACUCAUGUCAGACAAACUCCAGAAACAACAUCAGUCCAGGAGGGGGACACAGUUAAUCUCCGCUGUUCUCUUCUCUCCAGCAGUAGAGAAAACACCAAUCAUAAUCCAUCUGAUUACAAUGUGUACUGGUUCAGAGCUGGAUUUGGAGAAUCCCGUCUGAGUUUUAUUUAUACUCAGAACAACAGCUAUGAUGCUUGUAAGAGUAGCUGUGUCUUCCAGCUGUCCAAAAGUAUACAUAACUCCUCAGAUACUGGGAUUUACUACUGUGCUGUGAUCACAUGUGGAAACGUCUUGUUUGGAAAAGGAACUAAAGUAGAGAUGAGUAAACCUUCGGAACCUGUUCUAAUUGUCUUGGGUGUGCUGUUGGGGCUUUGUGUGAUUGUGAUUUCAGUUCUAAUAUUCUCCAGAGAUUAGAGGCUCCAAAUAGGAAUCUGCUGACUGAGUUUUUCUACGCUGCAAGAAAAAAGACAUGGCGGAUUAUCAUCUAUCAACAAGUACAGACUUUAAUUUUUGAGAAGACAAUAUCUAUUCUAAGUGUAUAAAAUAUUCAAAACAUUUCUUGUAAGUUUUCUUUGUGUUUAGAUUUGUAAAGAAGACAAUAGAAACUUUUUGCUCUAAUGUUACAAGAUGUUUUUUUAGACGUGAGACUGACUCGCCACUGUAUAAUUGUUCUUUCUAUAAUCUUACCUACUAAUGUUUUUUUUUUCUUAGAAUGAUCUGUGUUUAUUUUUUUUCCUGAAUUAUUGCAUUAUUUCAACUGCAUGCAUAACAUGCUGUUGAAAAGGUAUUUAUGUGAUUUUUUUAUAUAUAAUUAUAUAAUAUUUUACAUGCUGUUUCUACACUGUGAUUAAAUAUUUGUUCAUGCUACUUUCAUGUUGCAAUGGUGAAAUACAUGUAAUACUUAUUAAAAUGGGGUACAUAUUAGCUACAUUUCCAGUAGAAGCAGUUCCAGCUUGUUUCUUAAUUCACAAUAUGAACAGUGGUUCAAACAUAGUAUACACAUAAUCAAGCAUUUUUAAACUACAGAAUAUGUAAAGACUUUCACACCAAAACAGGUUGUGAUUCCUAACUGACAUGAAAUUGACAAAUAUCUCAGUAACCAGGUCAAAGUAAAUAUUUGUUACUCCAUAAAAGCAAGGAAAAUGUCAGUUCCAAAAAUUUACUCACAUAUUAUUAGGACGUAAGGUUUUAUAC
Poeciliopsis prolifica (blackstripe livebearer) is the source of this 1195-nucleotide long non-coding RNA. RefSeq lists it as uncharacterized. The record is from RefSeq and is a predicted model, not a curated record. The transcript has 3 exons. NCBI's taxonomy places the organism in Eukaryota, Metazoa, Chordata, Actinopteri, Cyprinodontiformes, Poeciliidae.